RNAcentral lists this long non-coding RNA (1150 nucleotides) under Ananas comosus (pineapple). Its description in RNAcentral is "long non-coding RNA (ACOM_LNC024593)". Lineage: Eukaryota; Viridiplantae; Streptophyta; Magnoliopsida; Poales; Bromeliaceae. The record is from RNAcentral.
UUUUAAUAAUAAAUGGUUCAAUUAGAUGAUCAUAUUGAUGUUUGAAUAUUCAUGAAUUGGUGUUAGUAGAUGAUUUACUAUGAUGCAUGAGAUUGGAGUUUUCAGAUCUGUGAUUUUUGGUUCUCGUAUUUAUAGAUUUCUACAUCGUGGUUUUCUACCCCUCGAGUUAGUCAGUUUUUAAAAUAGAGUUUCCGUAUGGGAAACAAUUUUAAAAUAGUUUUCGAAUGAUUUUCGUGAAUGUUUGAAUUAGAGUUUUAAAAACAAAGCUUCCGAAUGGGGAGCACUUUUAAUAGGAUGACUGUUGUAUUGUGCAUUGCAUCAUCCAGCGCCUAAGGAGUGCUUAGAGGCAUGCAUCACCUCUAAGGAUCGCUAGCUGAAUGGGAAUGCAUGGCAUUAAUGAUUGUUGAUUGAUAAAUGUAGGUUGUGGUUAUGAUCCUGUAGAUGUUAGUUGGUACGCCGUGCAAAUACAAAGGAGACUCUGUCCGAGUGGACAGAGAAACUUUGUAUUUGUGGUGGGUCUGUACGUCACCUAGAUCAGGUUGAAAAAAAAAAAGGGCACGUUUUCUGCAAUUCUGAUUUCAAAAUGGUAUCAAACUUUAAAAAGGCUUUUAAAAUCGGUCCCGCGCGGGGCGUGACAAUAAUAGGUAAAGAUUGUUAUAUUUAAAUAUAUUUAAUUAUAUUACUAAUUACUUUUUUAUUUAGUUGGUAUAUUUAAAAUAUGAUAAAAAUCGAUUAGUAAAACUUUAAUAUUUUUUUAUUUAGUUUGUACAAUUAAAAUAUAAUACAAAAUAAUUAAUUAAGUAUUAACAUUUUUAACUUUAUAAUUUUGUUAUUUAUUACUAUAAUUUAUGUAUAAAAAAAUAAUUUAGUUGUUUUAAAUUAAAUUUUAAUUAUAUAAAAAUAUAAUUAUAUUAUUUUUAUUUAUUAAAAUAUUUAUUAUUUAUAUAUAAAUUAUAGUUUUACAUCAUACACUUCCUACCAAACAAACAGCAGAACUAAUAAGACUUCACUUCUAUAACUACAAAACAAACAGCGAGAAUGAAAUAGUUUUCACCGAACUCCAGUUCAAUCCAAAGUCUACUUCAACCCGAAGUUCAGUUUCGGUGAAACAAACAUGUCCAAAGUGCUAGACCUUGCACGAGUUUAUCAA